RNAcentral lists this small RNA (28 nucleotides) under Bombyx mori (domestic silkworm). RNAcentral's name for it is "ovarian small RNA-19021". The record is from RNAcentral. Lineage: Eukaryota; Metazoa; Arthropoda; Insecta; Lepidoptera; Bombycidae.
UAACUGGAGGGAUUUUUCCUAUCCUUGC